RNAcentral lists this RNase P RNA (444 nucleotides) under Pirellulales bacterium. RNAcentral's name for it is "RNase P RNA component class A". It matches the Rfam family "Bacterial RNase P class A". Rfam says of the family: Ribonuclease P (RNase P) is a ubiquitous endoribonuclease, found in archaea, bacteria and eukarya as well as chloroplasts and mitochondria. Its best characterised activity is the generation of mature 5'-ends of tRNAs by cleaving the 5'-leader elements of precursor-tRNAs. Lineage: Bacteria; Pseudomonadati; Planctomycetota; Planctomycetia; Pirellulales. The record is from RNAcentral.
GAAGUGGACCGGGCGGUCGCUGUCGGCCAUGCUGGUCGGCGGAGGAAAGUCCGGGCGCCGGAGGACAGGGUGGUGGGUAACGCCCACCGGUCGUGAGACCCGGGAAAGUGCAACAGAAAGCAAACCGCCUAAGGCAGCCGUGGGUGAAGCAAUUUGUCGGCGGCGGCCCGGUAAGGGUGAAACGGUGAGGUAAGAGCUCACCAGCGAGCCAGGUGACUGGUUCGGCUAGGUAAACCCCACCCGGCGCAAGGCCGAAUAAGGACGUCGUGGCGUUUUCGUCCCCAGGCUGGUCCGGCCUGGCGUUGAAAUCAACGGGACGUCCGGGUAGGCCGCUGCCGUGCGGUCGCACGGUGAGGCGGCGAGCAAUCGUCGCUUGAGAGAAAUGAUCGCCCUCGGCGAUUUAAUUCGCGGGGACAAAACCCGGCUUAUAGGUCCACUUCAGGC